GCAAAUCUAAGCUCGUUAAUGUCGAUUCAGAUCUGAGAGAAGAAGAAGAAGGAAGGAACAAGGAACUACUGUGAAUCUCUCAACUCACUGUGAAAUUUACACUUUUGCCCUUCCCACCUCCAUUACCGUCCAACAAUGGCGUACUCAUUCCCGGAGGAAGUACUAGAACACGUCUUCUCCUUCCUCACCACCGACAAAGACCGUAACGCGGUAUCUGUAGUCUGCAAAUCGUGGUACGAGAUCGAACGGUGGUGUAGGAGGAGAAUAUUCGUCGGAAAUUGCUAUGCUGUUAGCCCUAGGAUCAUGAUCCGACGGUUUCCAGAAGUCAGAUCUGUUGAGCUUAAAGGGAAGCCUCAUUUUGCUGAUUUCAAUCUUGUACCGGAAGGUUGGGGAGCUUAUGUGUAUCCUUGGAUUUUGGCUAUGUCUAGGUCUUAUCCAUGGCUUGAAGAAAUUAAGCUUAAAAGGAUGGUAAUUACUGAUGAGUCGUUGGAGUUGAUUUCUAAGUCGUUUAAGAACUUUAAAGUUUUGGUUUUGUCUUCAUGUGAUGGGUUUACUACUGAUGGACUUGCUGCUAUUGCUGCUAACUGCAGGAAUCUGAGAAAACUAGACUUGGGGGAGAGUGAAGUGGAGGACCUUAGUGGGCAUUGGCUAAGCCAUUUCCCUGAUAACUGCACGUCACUUGUUUCACUUAACAUAGCUUGUUUGGCCUCUGAGGUCAGUCUGUUAGCGUUGGAGCGCCUGGUUACUCGCUCUCCUAAUUUGACAACUCUAAAGAUAAAUCGUGCUGUGCCCCUUGAGAGGCUUCCAAACCUGCUCCGCCGCACUUCCCAGUUGGUCAAAUUUGGUACAGGUGUUUUCUCUGCCGAUGUGCGAUCUGAUUUUUUCUCAAACCUGACAGAAGCUUUUUCAAGCUGCAAGCAACUUAAAUGCCUGUCUGGAUUUUGGGACGUUGUACCAGCUUACCUUCCAGCUUUAUAUCCAGUGUGCUCAAGACUCACCUCCUUGAAUUUGAGCUAUGCUACCUGUCAGAACCCUGACCUUGGCAAGCUCAUAAGUCAAUGUCACAAUUUGCGGCGUUUGUGGGUGCUAGACUACAUUGAAGAUACUGGUCUUGAGGAACUUGCUGCCAAUUGUAAGGACCUCCAAGAGCUGAGGGUGUUUCCUUCUGACCCAUUUGCUGCAGAACCUAAUACAACCUUGACAGAGCAAGGCCUUGUAGCUGUCUCAGAUGGCUGUCCAAAGCUCCAGUCUGUUUUAUACUUCUGCCGUCAAAUGACUAAUGCAGCUUUAGUUACUAUUGCUAGGAAUCGACCUAACAUGAUUCGUUUUCGCUUGUGUAUCAUUGAGCCUCGAACUCCUGAUUAUUUAACCCUUGGUUCAUUUGAUGCUGGUUUUGGGGCCAUAGUAGAGAACUGUAAGGAAUUGCGGCGACUUUCACUUUCUGGCCUCCUUACCGAUCGUGUCUUCGAAUACAUUGGUGCUCAUGCUAAAAAGUUAGAGAUGCUUUCCAUAGCUUUUGCUGGUGAUAGCGAUCUGGGACUCCACCAUGUGCUCUCUGGUUGUGAUAGCCUUCGGAAGUUGGAGAUCAGAGAUUGUCCGUUUGGAGACAAGGCUCUCUUGGCUAAUGCUGCAAAGCUCGAGACAAUGCGAUCCCUUUGGAUG
RNAcentral lists this unclassified non-coding RNA (1662 nucleotides) under Hevea brasiliensis (rubber tree). The record is from RNAcentral. Lineage: Eukaryota; Viridiplantae; Streptophyta; Magnoliopsida; Malpighiales; Euphorbiaceae.